Molecule: long non-coding RNA, 567 nt
Organism: Lemur catta (Ring-tailed lemur)
Lineage: Eukaryota; Metazoa; Chordata; Mammalia; Primates; Lemuridae
Exons: 4
Source: RefSeq, a predicted model, not a curated record
CAAUAGCUGGGACUACAGGCGCUCGCCACCAUGCAUGGAACAGAUCAUCUUCAUCUGACUCCUCGAGGUACUUUAUAGGUUUCUUCGCCCGACUGGAUUUUGCCCGAGGAGCAACUGCUGCAUCAAAAUCUAGAUUGAAGUCGUCACUCUCCCCCUUGGAUUUCUACAGGAGAAAAGCCCAGGAUCAGGCUUCUGAGAGACACCAGAAUUCAAGGCUGGAUUCCUUUUGGUUCCUUUUGGGGCAGCCUUUUUGGCACCCGUGGUGGAAGUAGAAGACUGACCUACAAGUCAACACAGAUUGGGAAGACUUGGAUAGGUGUACUGUGGGAGGAAUCUUUGUUUCUGCAGAGCAAGAAGAUCAAUGGAAAAUAAAGUCAGGUGCUUCUAUUUUUAUUUCUAAGUACUCACAGCUUUGAUAAAUUUUUCACUUAAUUGGCAUGUUGAUCCAAAGCUCUUGGCUUGUAAAGUCAUGUUUUCUUUUGUCUGAGAGUCGAAGGUUGGGUUUUCAAUUAAGGCAUUCACAAAAAUCCACAUGUGAUUUUUCACCUGCAAUAAAACUUGGUAUUA